AUGUGGCAAUGGAUCCGCGGACGGAUUCCGUCUGGCGUAGAGGUCCGCAAGCGCAAUGGCCCCGGUACCGGCCUUUACCCGCUUUGUGGCGUCCCUGAAGACUCGAAUCACAUCUUCUUCACUUGCUUUUCCGCCCAAUUUCUUUGGGGCUGUUUUCGUGAGGUGGUUGGUGGCAACUGGUGCCACACCAAUUUCCCCGACAUGUUCGCUGAACUCCAGGCCUCCUCCCCGCAUUCUCGCCACAUUAGGUGGUUGGAGAUUGGGACUCUUGCUUGGACCCUCUGGACGAUCCGCAAUAGAUUUGUGAUCUAG
Molecule: ribosomal RNA, 312 nt
Filed under: Triticum aestivum (bread wheat)
Lineage: Eukaryota; Viridiplantae; Streptophyta; Magnoliopsida; Poales; Poaceae
Description: partial small subunit ribosomal RNA
Source: RNAcentral